This 115-nucleotide non-coding RNA is filed under the name Arthrobacter woluwensis. RNAcentral describes it as "SAM-IV sequence". It matches the Rfam family "SAM (S-adenosyl methionine) riboswitch aptamer". Rfam says of the family: SAM-IV is a mRNA element that regulates gene expression via direct sensing of S-adenosylmethionine (SAM or AdoMet). SAM-IV riboswitches share conserved nucleotide positions with the previously described SAM-I riboswitches sequence analysis and molecular recognition experiments suggest that SAM-I and SAM-IV riboswitches share similar ligand binding sites, but have different scaffolds. Lineage: Bacteria; Bacillati; Actinomycetota; Actinomycetes; Micrococcales; Micrococcaceae. The record is from Rfam by way of RNAcentral.
AGUCACGAGUGCCAGCGCCAAACCCCGGUUCGCUGGCCGGCAACCCUCCUCCUGCGGUGGGGUGCCCCGGGUGAAGACUCGGCCCAGCGCCGGCCGGCGCGGGCAAGCACAGGAA